Molecule: unclassified non-coding RNA, 240 nt
Filed under: Hevea brasiliensis (rubber tree)
Lineage: Eukaryota; Viridiplantae; Streptophyta; Magnoliopsida; Malpighiales; Euphorbiaceae
Source: RNAcentral
GGCUAAUCUUCUAAACAGGACUUCAAUAGUGGCAUUAAGUUGCUGGCUAAUCUACUCUAGCAAAUAAUCAAAACCUAACCUGAGUGAGUAAGAAAAAAAAUAAAAUGGAAGAAGAAGAAGGAGGAGGUAAGAAAAACAAAAGAGAAAAUGGUUUCAAAUCAUAGCCCAAUAAACAAAGGAUUUUAAGUGAAGCCAAAAUGUGCAUGUGAAAAACUAUAGUUCAGUAGACAGCAAAGCCUC